Molecule: non-coding RNA, 88 nt
Filed under: Cedecea sp. NFIX57
Lineage: Bacteria; Pseudomonadati; Pseudomonadota; Gammaproteobacteria; Enterobacterales; Enterobacteriaceae
Source: RNAcentral
AAUUAUGGUGGGCUGUGUGGGGGCUUCUCACGAAGCGCCGGUUUCCGAUAACGCCGGUUACGCCAACCCUGCACAGCUCACCACCAGC